RNA transcript from Strigops habroptila (Kakapo), 2819 nucleotides. It is a transcript of the gene named serine/threonine kinase like domain containing 1, with no coding region annotated. The transcript has 20 exons. NCBI's taxonomy places the organism in Eukaryota, Metazoa, Chordata, Aves, Psittaciformes, Psittacidae. The record is from RefSeq and is a predicted model, not a curated record.
GCGACCCCGUCCCUCCGCGCCGCGCGUUAAAGGGGCAGCCCCGCGCGGGGCAGCGGCGCUGGGGGUGCGCGGUCGUGGGGGCCGUUGUGGCGGUGAUUUGUUGGCCCCCAGGUGCCGCUGCGGGAAGGGGGCAGCGCGCCCCGCCCGGGGGUUCCCCCCCACACCAGCAGCCUGCUCUGCCUCCCCUUGUCCUGCCAUGGAGAACUAUGAGGUGCUGGAGCAGCUCCAGCCUGGGGCACUGGGCACGAUGCUGGUAGCUGAAUGGAAAACAGAAAAAGGUGUGGAGAAGAAAUAUGUAAUAAAGCAGGUGCAGUGCAUUAAAGAAAAGCAAGCAAAUGAUGCCUUGAAGGAGGCAAUGGAUUUGCUAAAACUUCAUCACUCGAACAUCUGUACUUACAAGGAAUCAUUUGUGACUUGGGAUAAUAAGGUGUCAUGUCUGUUCCUUUGUCUGGUAAUGCAGCACUCGGGCCAAGGAGAUCUUUCAUCUGUCAUCAAGGAAAAAAGGCAGAAGUCAGAAAAAAUAACAGACAUGGUGAUUCUGAAGUUCCUGGGACAGAUGGUGGAUGCUUUGUUUUAUAUACACAAACAAAAUAUUUUCCACAGAAAUCUCAAGCCAUCAAACAUACUUGUGACUGGCGAAGCAUCCUUCAUGCUUAGCGACUUCAGUACAGAAACACUUAUGACAGAUGAGAUGAAAUGGAAAAUAAGAGUGGAAGAAAAUAGCAAGUCUUGGAUGGCUCCAGAAACAUUUGAUUCUAUUUUUACUGAGAAAUCUGACGUCUGGUCUCUAGGUUGUAUUCUACUUGACAUGAUGACCUGCUUCGUUCUGAAUGGAGAAGAGAUAACUUCUCUACUGCAGGAUAUUAGACAGGAUACCAGCUGUCUUGAGGGAGUUCAGACACUAAUGCAGAAUGGAGAUAACAGCUCUUUGACUUUAUUUCCAGUUUUAUUUAUGAUGCUACAGAUUCAGCCCAGCAUGAGGCCCACAGCAGAAGAUCUGACUGAUGUUCCAUUUAUUAGGGACUACCUGAUUGUUGCUGGUGCGCCUUCAGUAAAACUGAAAACGUCUUUGCCUCCCAAAAUAAUAGAUGUGCUCCUUGAGGGAGGAAUUGAAAAUGUCCUAGAAAUCAUGCAGGCUUUCUGGCAUAUAGAAUUAGUACAGGUGAAAGCCAUUCAGCACCUCGCCAGCUUCGUAAGAGAGAAAAGUGCCUUUCCCUAUCUGCUAAUGGUCACAGAAUUGAUCACUUCUGCCAUGAAGACUCAUGUAGAUUCUCUGAAGUUACAAGUAGAUGGUUGCAGUUUAUUGCUUGAAAUUCUUAAUCCAGCUCUAGAGCAGGAUGUGGUGAUGGCCCUGGAUAAGAAUAUGAUCAGCUCUCUGUUAGACACAGCGAGAAAACACUUUGAAACUGAAGAGUUAAUUUCAUUGAUCUACACAUUAGUGAUGAUGCUUUCAGCCAGCGAAGUCGUUGCAGAGAAUCUGUGGGAACUUGGAAUAAUUCCAGACCUUCUGUCAAUUUUAAGAAAUUUUCUUCAUAAUGAAAGUAUCUGCCUCCCUUGCUGUGGGGUUCUCUGGAGCUUGGCUGUGAGUGAGACUAAUGUAGACCAAGCAUUGCUGGCAAGUGCUGUCCCUGUUGUCUUUGAGGUCCUUCAAGAGCACCUCCAGAAUGGAGCCGUUGCAGAGUCUGCUUGCUCAGCUCUAUGGGCAUUGUCACUCCAAGGUUGCUUAACUGAAAAUGAAUAUGAGCCCACAACAGCACUUCUGCUGGAUGCGCUCAGGAUGAACCCAGGAAGACCAGUGCUGGUGAAGAAUGCCUGCCUGGCACUAGCAAGCCUUCUAAGGCUAUCUGGGCUGGAAGAGGAAAUAGUGAAACUGGAGGUGUGAAUUUUUUUCUUCCCAUGGACCCAGCAUGCGUGUAUGAGAAGUAUUGGAUCAGCACAAGCUGAUCUGUUAGUAACUUCAGAGUGUUUUGUUGCUUAUGAUGGAAUUGCUUCAACUGCGUAAAAGGCUAGAGCUGAAUGAAUAUGAAAACAGUAAAUGUUAAAAUACCACUUUGCCAUUGCAUGAUGGUGUCAGCUGCCUAAGUGGUCUGCUACUUGUUGCCCAGAUACGCUUCAGAAUAGCUUUUAGGAAGACUGAAAAUAAAGGGCAUGACUUUCUGGAAAAAUAUCACAUGUGCUAGCUGGAGCAGGAGACUGGAAAGCAGGUAAUGCAGCCUGCAGCUACCGAGUAGCCCAGCAGUGUUUGUCUCCCUUUCAGAAACAGCAGCUUUGAGACUUACAAUGGAUUCAAAAGGCAGUGGAAUAAACCUGAUCAAAGAUGCCUACUGCCUUCACUUCGAUGAUCCAGAAGUGGUGGAAAAUAUCUGUAUGCUGAUUAACGAGAUGGUUCAGUAUGAUGAUGUUGUGCUGGAUAUGCUGUCCCAGAAAAUGGAGGAACUGCUGUUUGAAAUAAAAUGCCGGUUUCCAUCUAGCAUGGGCUUGUGUCCCUCCUCACUGGCAGAGCAUGAGACUGAAAAGCCCCUGAUCAGGGAGAUAAUGACCCUUGUGGAUGCAACGCUUUUGAAACUGCAGAAGUAAAAGAAACUUCUGCCUAAGAACAAGACUUGUACUUCUUGAGCAGAGAGAAAAGCUCCACAAAGAUUUUUAAAGAUUUUUCUCAGGAGCAGGAUUAAUACUGGGCUAUUAGUCAUACAUAAACAGUGUUACAUCUUGUUGAUUUAGGUACCACAGCUGUGAGACUAACAGCAAUAAUUAAGAAUUCACCCUACUUUGUAGACUGUGAGGUAUUUUAAAUAAAGAUGUUAGUCUUGGGAAUUUCA